RNAcentral lists this ribosomal RNA (301 nucleotides) under uncultured bacterium. RNAcentral describes it as "partial 16S ribosomal RNA". It matches the Rfam family "Bacterial small subunit ribosomal RNA", at positions 509 to 808 of the family's 1533-position model. The record is from RNAcentral.
CAGUCGCCGCGGGAAUACGAAGGGUGCAAGCGUUACUCGGAAUUACUGGGCGUAAAGCGUGCGUAGGUGGUGGUUUAAGUCCGUUGUGAAAGCCCUGGGCUCAACCUGGGAAUUGCAGUGGAUACUGGGUCACUAGAGUGUGGUAGAGGAUAGUGGAAUUUCCGGUGUAGCAGUGAAAUGCGUAGAGAUCGGAAGGAACAUCUGUGGCGAAGGCGACUAUCUGGGCCAACACUGACACUGAGGCACGAAAGCGUGGGGAGCAAACAGGAUUAGUACCCCCGUAGUCCCUGUCUCUUAUACA